Molecule: ribosomal RNA, 395 nt
Filed under: uncultured Pseudomonas sp.
Lineage: Bacteria; Pseudomonadati; Pseudomonadota; Gammaproteobacteria; Pseudomonadales; Pseudomonadaceae
Description: bacterial SSU rRNA
Rfam family: Bacterial small subunit ribosomal RNA
Source: RNAcentral
UGCAGAGAACUUCCAGAGAUGGAUUGGUGCCUUCGGGAACUCUGACACAGGUGCUGCAUGGCUGUCGUCAGCUCGUGCCGUGAGAUGUUGGGUUAAGUCCCGUAACGAGCGCAACCCUUGUCCUUAGUUACCAGCACGUUAUGGUGGGCACUCUAAGGAGACUGCCGGUGACAAACCGGAGGAAGGUGGGGAUGACGUCAAGUCAUCAUGGCCCUUACGGCCUGGGCUACACACGUGCUACAAUGGUCGGUACAAAGGGUUGCCAAGCCGCGAGGUGGAGCUAAUCCCAUAAAACCGAUCGUAGUCCGGAUCGCAGUCUGCAACUCGACUGCGUGAAGUCGGAAUCGCUAGUAAUCGUGAAUCAGAAUGUCACGGUGAAUACGUUCCCGGGCCUU